This 596-nucleotide ribosomal RNA is filed under the name Salmonella enterica subsp. arizonae. Its description in RNAcentral is "partial 23S ribosomal RNA". It matches the Rfam family "Bacterial large subunit ribosomal RNA", at positions 2249 to 2839 of the family's 2925-position model. The record is from RNAcentral. Lineage: Bacteria; Pseudomonadati; Pseudomonadota; Gammaproteobacteria; Enterobacterales; Enterobacteriaceae.
GGACAGUGUCUGGUGGGUAGUUUGACUGGGGCGGUCUCCUCCUAAAGCGUAACGGAGGAGCACGAAGGUUGGCUAAUCCUGGUCGGACAUCAGGAGGUUAGUGCAAUGGCAUAAGCCAGCUUGACUGCGAGCGUGACGGCGCGAGCAGGUGCGAAAGCAGGUCAUAGUGAUCCGGUGGUUCUGAAUGGAAGGGCCAUCGCUCAACGGAUAAAAGGUACUCCGGGGAUAACAGGCUGAUACCGCCCAAGAGUUCAUAUCGACGGCGGUGUUUGGCACCUCGAUGUCGGCUCAUCACAUCCUGGGGCUGAAGUAGGUCCCAAGGGUAUGGCUGUUCGCCAUUUAAAGUGGUACGCGAGCUGGGUUUAGAACGUCGUGAGACAGUUCGGUCCCUAUCUGCCGUGGGCGCUGGAGAACUGAGGGGGGCUGCUCCUAGUACGAGAGGACCGGAGUGGACGCAUCACUGGUGUUCGGGUUGUCAUGCCAAUGGCACUGCCCGGUAGCUAAAUGCGGAAGAGAUAAGUGCUGAAAGCAUCUAAGCACGAAACUUGCCCCGAGAUGAGUUCUCCCUGAGACUACGAGUCUCCUGAAGGAACGUU